This 482-nucleotide ribosomal RNA is filed under the name uncultured bacterium. Its description in RNAcentral is "partial 16S ribosomal RNA". It matches the Rfam family "Bacterial small subunit ribosomal RNA", at positions 30 to 505 of the family's 1533-position model. The record is from RNAcentral.
AUUGAACGCUGGCGGCAGGCCUAACACAUGCAAGUCGAGCGGAUGAAGGGGGCUUGCUCCUGGAUUCAGCGGCGGACGGGUGAGUAAUGCCUAGGAAUCUGCCUGGUAGUGGGGGAUAACGUCCGGAAACGGGCGCUAAUACCGCAUACGUCCUGAGGGAGAAAGUGGGGGAUCUUCGGACCUCACGCUAUCAGAUGAGCCUAGGUCGGAUUAGCUAGUUGGUGGGGUAAAGGCCUACCAAGGCGACGAUCCGUAACUGGUCUGAGAGGAUGAUCAGUCACACUGGAACUGAGACACGGUCCAGACUCCUACGGGAGGCAGCAGUGGGGAAUAUUGGACAAUGGGCGAAAGCCUGAUCCAGCCAUGCCGCGUGUGUGAAGAAGGUCUUCGGAUUGUAAAGCACUUUAAGUUGGGAGGAAGGGCAGUAAGUUAAUACCUUGCUGUUUUGACGUUACCAACAGAAUAAGCACCGGCUAACUUCG